UCGUGUCGUGAGAUGUUGGGUUAAGUCCCGCAACGAGCGCAACCCUCACCCUUUGUUGCCAUCAGGUCAUGCUGGGGACUCUAGGGGAGCUGCCCCGGUCAACGGGGAGGAAGGUGGGGAUGACGUCAAGUCAUCAUGCCCCUUACGCCCUGGGCUACACACGUGCUACAAUGGCCGGUACAAAGGGAUGCAAGACCGCGAGGUGGAGCUAAACCCAGAAAGCCGGUCUAAGUUCAGAUUGGAGUCUGCAACUCGACUCCAUGAAGGAGGAAUCGCUAGUAAUCGC
RNAcentral lists this ribosomal RNA (286 nucleotides) under uncultured Methylomirabilota bacterium. RNAcentral's name for it is "uncultured candidate division NC10 bacterium partial 16S ribosomal RNA". It matches the Rfam family "Bacterial small subunit ribosomal RNA", at positions 1060 to 1345 of the family's 1533-position model. Lineage: Bacteria; Methylomirabilota (SeqCode). The record is from RNAcentral.